RNAcentral lists this ribosomal RNA (301 nucleotides) under Ischnura elegans. RNAcentral's name for it is "partial 16S ribosomal RNA". The record is from RNAcentral. Lineage: Eukaryota; Metazoa; Arthropoda; Insecta; Odonata; Coenagrionidae.
UUAGUCUUUUAAUAGGAGGCUGGAAUGAAAGGUUUAACGAGAAAUUGACUGUCUCAAUUGCAAUCUUGAAUUUAUCUUUUGAGUCAAAAGACUUAAAUAUAAUUGGUGGACGAGAAGACCCUAUAGAGCUUGACAAUUAUUUUUUUAUAUUUACUUAGACUGAAAUUAUUUAUUUAUAUUAAAAAAAUUGUUUUGUUGGGGUGACAAUAAAUAUAUAUUUAACUUUUAUCAUAGUAUUAACAUUAAUUUAUGACUUUUGGAUCCAAAAAUUUUGAUCAUUAGACUAAGUUACCUUAGGGAU